UAGGGAAUCUUCCACAAUGGACGAAAGUCUGAUGGAGCAACGCCGCGUGAGUGAUGAAGGGUUUCGGCUCGUAAAACUCUGUUGUUGGAGAAGAACAGGUGUCAGAGUAACUGUUGACAUCUUGACGGUAUCCAACCAGAAAGCCACGGCUAACUACGUGCCAGCAGCCGCGGUAAUACGUAGGUGGCAAGCGUUGUCCGGAUUUAUUGGGCGUAAAGCGAGCGCAGGCGGUUUCUUAGGUCUGAUGUGAAAGCCUUCGGCUUAACCGGAGAAGUGCAUCGGAAACCAGGAGACUUGAGUGCAGAAGAGGACAGUGGAACUCCAUGUGUAGCGGUGAAAUGCGUAGAUAUAUGGAAGAACACCAGUGGCGAAGGCGGCUGUCUGGUCUGUAACUGACGCUGAGGCUCGAAAGCAUGGGUAGCGAACAGGAUUAGAUACCCUGGUAGUCCAUGCCGUAAACGAUGAGUGCUAAGUGUUGGGA
Molecule: ribosomal RNA, 481 nt
Filed under: uncultured bacterium
Lineage: Bacteria
Description: partial 16S ribosomal RNA
Rfam family: Bacterial small subunit ribosomal RNA
Source: RNAcentral